GUAGCUUUUUGGUAUAAUCUUAAAAUUCAGUAAUGUAAGUCUUCCAACUUUACCUUCUUUCAAAAUGGUUCUGAUUAUUCUAGAUUCUUUGUAAUUUUUUUUACGAAUUUUAGAAUUAAUUUGACAGCUGAUGGGAUUCGGAUUGGGGUUACAUUGAAUCUACAGAUCAAUUCUGGGGGGGUGAUAUUUUUAAUAAGCUACCCCAAAUAUGGAAGCUUGCUAUAUUGAAUAUUUUAAGCUGAAGGAGUUUGAGAAAAUGGCUGAAGCAGGAAGGUCCCCCUAACCACCCCACUUCUCCCCUGACACAGUCAUGAACCCCUCAUGUGAGAGAUGCCCUCCCUAUACUCAGAGGAAAGGAGCGUCCUUAUCUCUGAAGAUAAAGGGAUGCUGAGAUGCUAACAGAUAGGCCUUGCUAGGUUUCCUCCAGUUUUACCGCACGUACCAUGUACCGUAACCUAUCAUACUCCUCCACACCUGUCCACCCUUCAUCAAGCCUAGCAUAAAAAUACUCAGGUUUAACUAUUUCUUUGGGUCUUCAUUUUCUUAUGAAAACUCCCACGUUAUGUAAAACUUACAUGAAAUAAAUUUGUAUGCCUGUCUUUUGUUAAUCUUUUUUCUGUUGGUUUAAUUUUCAGACUCUAGGAGGAUCAAGAAAAACUUUUUCUUCCCCUCCAGUUUCUGGUGCCCACACAGGAACUCCUUCAGCUGGGAACACCUUGCUGAGUCUGGAAGCUGUAAUAAAGAGAUCUUGGACCUCUGACAAAACCCAACAGAGGAGCUACUUGGAAACUGGGCAAAUGAAAAACCUUAAAGGACUUCCCUGGUGGCGCAGUGGUUAAAAAUCCGCCUGCCAAUGCAGGGGACACAGGUACGAUCCCUGGUCCAGGAAGAUCCCACAUGCCACAGAGCAACUAAGCCCGUGUGCCACAACUACUGAGACCACACGCCGCAACUACUGAGCCCAUGUGCUGCAACUACUGAAGCUCACGAGCCUAAGAGCCCAUGCUCCACAACAAGAGAAGCCAUCGCAAUGAGAAACCUGCACACUGCAACGAAGAGUAGACCCUGCUCGCCGCAACUAGAGAAAGCUCGCGCACAGCAACAAAGACCCAAAGCAGCCAAAAAAAACAAAAAAGAAACUUAAAAGAUCUUCUCCACAGAUAUUAGUAAAGUGUUUUAGCCAUCUGAGUGGGUAACCUUAACUUAUUCCAUCUGCCAGAAGCACAAUUUGGAUCCAAGUGUUCUUUUAUGAACUAGUGAGUUUUAUAUUAAUAUACCUGACACAUGGUUAAAAUUUUAAAGCAAAAGCUGUAAGAUCUCUGUAUUUGUCUGCCUGUAUGUUUAUGUGUGUAUGUGUGUGUGUGUGUGUGUGUGUGUGUGUAUUAUGUAUAAGUGAUAUUUUUCUACCUCCAGAUGGUAUUACCAUAUUUAUUUAUAAAAUCCCUUAAAGGAGUUCUAUUCAAAUUGGCUUAGAGAUAAGUGAGUGCUCAUAUAAAUUAAGUAUUCCUAAAACUCUCAGAAAUAUAGACAAUAACCCAAAUUUUUUUUAAAUUCAUGUGAUCUGGUGUAAUUCUGAUAAAUAAAGUUAGUUUUCUAAUUGUUGGUAAAAUAAAAAAUAGGUAUGUCUUCAGAGCUGUCGGCAUUAAAUAUAAUGCAGACAUACAAUUUUCUUCUACCUAGGUUUACUAGUCAAACAAACUUAUAUUAUCUCUACUAGAUGUUUAAGAUUAUAAAACUGUAGGGGACUUCCCUGGUGGUCCAGUGGUUAAGACUCCACGCUUCCAGUGCAGGGAGUGCAGGUUCCACCCGUGGUUGGGGAAAUAAGAUCCUGCAUGCCCCACAGCGUGGCGAAAAAAAAAAGAUUAUAAAAUUAUAAAUCCAACCUAUAAACAAAAUGUACAAUUAGAAAUGAACUCCUUAAUGCAUGUCAAGUACCUAGUGAAAAAGAGAGAUAAGAACCAUGUUCUUAGCUUCUUGCACUCUUUGCUUUUGUGAUCUUUUUUGUUUUUUUAAAUUUUCUUGGCCGCCACGGGGCGUGUUGGAUCCUAGCUCCCCAACCAAGGAUCGAACAUGCGCCCCCUGCAUUGGAAGUGUGGAGUUUCAACCACAGGACUGCCAGGGAAGUCCCUGUGAUAUUUUUGAAACUUACCUGAUUCUCGACAAAUAAGUUGAUGAUUAGCUUUGUUUAAAGUCUCAUGAAAUUUUCCUUACUAAUCUAAAAAUAAUUGUUAAGAAGAAGUGAAUUCAUAAAAAACUAAAAAUAUAGCUACCAUAUGAUCCUGCAAUCCCACUCCUAGGCAUAUAUCCAGAGAAAAGCAUAAUUCAGAAAGAUAUAUGCAACCCCAAUGUUCAAUACAACACUACAAUAGCCAAGACAUGGAAGCAACCUAAAUGUCCAUCGACAGAUGAAUAGAUAAAGAAGAUGUGGUAUAUAUAUAUAUAUAUAUAUAUAUAUAUAUAUAUAUACACACACACACACACACACACACAAUGGAAUAUUAGUCAUAAAAAAAGAAUUAAAUAAUGCCAUUUGUAGCAAUAUGGAUGGCCCUAGAGAUUAUCAUAUUAAGUGAAGUAAGCCAGACAGAGAAAGACAAGUAUCAUAUGAUAUUGUUUAUACAUGGAAUCUUACAAAAUGAUACAAAUGAACUUAUUUACCGAGCAGAAAGAGACUCACAGACAUAGAAAACAAACUUAUGGUUACCAAAAGGGAAAGGGGAUAGGGGUAGGGAUAAAUUAGGAGUUUGGUAUUAACAUAUACACACUAAUAUAUAUAAAAUAGAUAACCAAAAAGGAUCUACUGUAUAGCACAGGGAACUAUAUUCAGUAUCUUGUAAUAGCCUAUAAUGGAAAAGAAUCUAAAAAAGAAUACAUAUAUGUGUGUAUAUGUAUAUACAUAUAUAGAACUGAAUCACUUUGCUGUACACCUGAAACUAACACAAUAUUGUAAAUCAACUGUACUUCAA
Orcinus orca (killer whale) is the source of this 2966-nucleotide long non-coding RNA. RefSeq lists it as uncharacterized. Lineage: Eukaryota; Metazoa; Chordata; Mammalia; Artiodactyla; Delphinidae. The record is from RefSeq and is a predicted model, not a curated record. The transcript has 2 exons.